Molecule: long non-coding RNA, 34068 nt
Filed under: Capsicum annuum
Lineage: Eukaryota; Viridiplantae; Streptophyta; Magnoliopsida; Solanales; Solanaceae
Description: long non-coding RNA (CANN_LNC018176)
Source: RNAcentral
ACAAAGUGUGGCUGAUUUGAUGUUGUUGUCAUUCUAAGCCUUGACCGUGUUGAAGGCCUUGUUGUUGUGGAGUUGGGCGUUGGAAUUUGUUGUUGUUCUUGGAGAAUAUUGUUGUUGUUCUUGGUGUUGUUAUUGUGUUCUUGUUGUUCUUCACCCUUUUCAUCUUUUGUUAAAACAAAAAGUGAACAUUAGAUCCACAAAAGGUGUAAGACCAAGUUGUAGUACUUGUUGGUGAAAGACUUGAUCACAUCACUCAAAAGACUUGACAACCACUUUUCACCUACUUUGCUUGAUUUAAGGACCUUGUUUCAAGGAGAAAUUACCAAGAAGGUCAAGUCUAGUUUUGAACAUGAAAAUGAAGCUCCAAGACCAAAUUUCCCUCCAUUAACCAAAUCCACCAUUUCAAAAUUAUAGAUUGGUCAAGACUUGAAACUGGAGAGUAAAAUUUUGAUAAAAACGAAGCCAAUAGUGGAAUGCCAUAUCACUAAAUUACUGUUUAUGCAACAUUUUGAGUUCAACUUUUAGAUUUCGUAGUUUCAUUUUAUUUUUCUUAGUUUCGUUUGUUGGUUUGAACACUAAUUGAUGACCUAGUAAUCUCCUACUAGCUUGUUAGUUAGUUUUUGUGCCCGUUUGUUCGUGUUGGCAUUAUUUUGUGCUUUUCUUGUUUUUGAAUCGUAGAAUUUCUUGGUUUAAGUUUGGACAUUAUUUCCUUGAGUCUUCAAACAAAGAAUUCAUUUUGACCAAGGAGUAAACUCACCCCUCGACUCAUCACGAACUACAAGCCAACUUGCAACACUUGUGAAUCCAAGUGUGAAAUGAUCAAGUGUGUGAGUGUGUGGUGAGGUUGUUUCGAACUAACUUGUGUUUUAUUUUGUAGACUUGUUCUUUUCUUUUUUUUUUAGGUGCAAUUACGAUGGAAUCCGCGGCUGCAAGUGCUAUUUUGGCUAAACUUAAAGCCAUUACCCAUCAAUGGGAAGUGAUAAAUGAAAGGUUGGAUCAUAUGAGAGUUCCAAGGGAGCAAGUGGGCUACCCGUACACACGUCAAGAUGAAGACCGUAGCUUAUGUAAGCUACGAGGUAAAAAUGUUAUCCUCUACACUCAUAUGAAUGUAGUUGCGAUUUUACCUAGUGUAGGAGUGCAUGAGUCUUCAUUUUGUGAUACUCUUGAUAUUGUUAGGUCACAUGAGGACCAAACUCUUGUUGUAGGUACACAAGCACUAAUUGAUCCUUUAGAUGACGAAAUUGAUUCUCUUCGUGAGAAUGAUUUGUGUCCAUCUGGUGCUAGGACUUACAACUUGACUAAGGUUCCAUUACCAAGUGACGAGAGUAUUCACACACUAGUUAAACCUUGUGAAAAACAAGGUGAGUCUACGUUGGUAUGUGAAUUCCUAGUAACUAGUGAGGGUGAGAAAAAUGAUAAAUCGGGCGUAUAUGAUCUUGAUUUUCUUAAAUAUUUAGAAACCCGAGUUGUGAUUGUGUUUGUGAAGAUGAUUUUGAUUUUGGUCCUUUGGCUUCCCGUGAUGGUUUGUACAUAUGUGAGGACAACUCUUGUGAAAGAGAACGUGAUAUGUUCUUAGAAAUGUCAUCUACUUCGUCUUUAUGUGUUUCUUAUGUUGGGCAUAUUCCUAGUGGAAAUUUUGAAACUGGUAGUAAAUGCAUGCAUGGGAACCCUUUAUUUUAAGUUGAGUUAUGGAAUACCUUUCUCAACCCUCUUUCAGUUCAUGAUAUUUUCAAUAGUGAUAAAGAGGGCUUGCUUAAUUUCGAGGAUGACACCCUAGGGGAAAGUGAGAAUGACCGAGACCUAAGCCUUUGGUUACAUCUCCCAUUCACUCCCGGUAACUUCUUAGGGUGUGAAGGAUGGAUAGUUGUUGUUUGGUCCACUUAUUUGAGUGAUAUUGUCAUAUGUGUUAGGUGGACUUUACUUUCAAUUAGGACAUCACCCCUUGAUGGUGAUUCCUUUCGCCAACUCCUUUGUAAAUUUUUUUCUAAGUCCCUCGUGAUUAUAACAAAGGAAGUAUGGUUAUAUCUCAAGUGUGUACCUCCUUGGCAUGUUGAUGUUGUUUAUUGUACUAACUCUAACCCUCAUGUCAUAAGGAUGUGGUGUUUGUUUGUCUUCUCUUUGUUCUUGGAAGGUUUGGAUUCGAGGUUGAUUCCUUUUCAAGAAGGGAAGGAUGAUACAAGUCAAAUGGCCACCUUAAUUUUUGAAGACAUGAUUGGAGGUCUUCAUUUAAAGGCUCAAGACUUGGUCACCCUGAGGGCACAAGAAUAUGCAAGGAAGACCCGUUUUGAGCACAAACAAGGCCAUGUGUGAAAGAUUUCUUGGAGCAUCAAAGACUUGAGGACUCACGAUUUUGGACAAUACUUAAUGGGUCAUGAUUUGGUCAUCUUCAUUAAGGGUAUUUUGGUCACUUCAUUGGGUCCAAAUGCACUCCAUGGCUACCCCACCCUUUAAGGGCAUUGUUGUUAUUUUGCCUUGCUUUGUAAUAGAAUAUAAAUAGAACAUUUUAGGUCUUUUUCUCACUAGUUGUUCAUUAAUGUAAGACUUGGAACAUGAAACACCUUUAGUUGUAAGGCUUGGAAUAGCCACCACACCGAAAUGAGGGCAACAAGUGUGGAUAUCACUUGUGUUGCAAUGUUGGCUUGAGACGUUGGUGUUUAGAGGAGAUAAAGUUCCUCUUGUGUCAACGUAGGAGUUAGUUUAACCAUUGUGUGUAGUGUUAAGGGUCCAAGAUUACAAUAUUCUUGGAUUCUUAAGAUUGUACCAACCAAGGUCUAACUAUCUAUCCAUUUUGUUUGUGUUGUAAUUGUUUGUUUGUGUUCUUAUAAUUCAAAUCCGUGACUUGUUGUUCUUGUUCCAUUGUUGUUGUUCUUCAUCUUGUUGUUGUUAACAUAGUUUGUUGUUAGCUGUUUUAGGUGAUAAACACAUCAAUACAUUGUGUUCUUGUUGUUGUUUGUUGAAUCCGAGUGUGGUCUUCAAAAGGGUCCUUGGAUCUUUGAUCUUGUGGACUGAUUUUGAAGUGUGUUUCGUGUUGUCCUUGUAAUUCUUGUAUCAUCUCAUAAUGUCGGUUCAUGUGCUCAAUCUCAGCAAUGACAGUGAUCUUCGAGUACCCUUAUCUACACAUCAGUAUGGUUCGAGGAUCUAUAUCUGUAGCUUUCCCGCUUUCGUAUUUUGAGUGUUACUUUUAUCUUAGUUUGAGUCAGUCGGGGGUCUGUCCCAAUGGCUCUCUAGCUUGAGUAGUAUAGGCUUUGUCAGACUAGACGAUCAGUGGUGUUUUAGACUUUUCAGUAUUGUGCUAUUGAGACAGUAUUCCUCGAUUAUUUCAGUUGAGAUACAAUAUGAUAGUACCUUUAUUUUGCUCUGGUUGUCAUUAGAGUAAGCUAUAAACCUAGUAGUAGGCUCAAUGGGUUAGCUUGGGGCUAGUUGUAGCUUUAAGCACCGUGUGACGCCUCAGGAUGAGAUUUUAGGUCAUUAUAGAAAUUCAAGGAGAGGUGUGCAUAUGUCCUCAACUAUAAGGAUAACAAAUUUGUGUCUACCUCUGAAAAGAUCUUAAGGGAUAAUAUGAGUGAGGGCGAAUCCUUCUAUGUGGAGAUCAUAAGAGGGGACGACAACCAAUUCGCAAUGUUCGGCAGUGGUUGUACGGCUAAAGUCGACCUAAUGGAAAAGUCGUGUUCUUGUAGGAAGUUUGACUUAGUCAAAAUACCAUGCGUUCACGCGAUGGCUGUUUUGUGAUCGAAGUAAGGUGAUGAUUAUGAUUUGAGAGUCUACGAGUACUCUUCACCCAUGUAUAAAGUAGAGUAGUACCUCCUUGCAUAUUCGAAAUCAAUUAAUGUUGUUUCUUUAGAGUUUGAAUGACUCGUGCCAUAAAAAUUGUUAGACGUGAACAUUAUUCCACCCCUUGUCGACACCAAGCUCGGAAGCAAGAAAAGAAAAUGCAUUACGGGUGUGGGCGAGGCUUUCAAGGUGAAGAGGAGGAGCAAUUGUUCGCUGUGGAAGAGACCCGAGCACAAGAGAACCACUAGCAAUAAUAGCAAAUCAUAGUGACUUGUAUGAAUUUAUGUUUUUGUAAGUCAUGGCAGUCUAUGCAUUUUGAUAACCCUGCAGUGUUCUGAUUAAUGCUAGUUUUAUCGAUUUUACUAUGUGUCUAUUAUCUACCAUUUAUGUUAUUGCAGAUAUUGUGUGUCAAUUCUAUUGAGAGUCUUCUUUAUAUACCACAUAGUUUAUUAUCGAUCCUAUUUCAAGUCUAUUGAAAAACCCUAAUUAUUUAAUUGAACAAAUGAAUAGUUGGGAAUUUAUGACACAUCAAAAAAGUUGUUACACGUCCACUCAACGUUGCGUUUAUUAGGUGUACUCUAUCUCUUUAACUGUCGUUCAUCCUCGCGUUUACCUCCCACUGGGCGGGAAUACCAAAAACUUCUAUUUUGGUCUAUAUAAACAACCAUUAACUAUACACAAUAUUCAUCUUCUUCAAUCCAAAAAAUGAUAUAUAAGACCUGAUGUCGAGAUUUCCACUCAGACCACGAAAGAGGGUUUGUUUCCAGCAUUGCCACGACCUUCUCCUCCUUCAAAAUGACCUAGACCGUUUCUUUUACAGUCUGGAUCAGGACAAAGAGCACCUCCACCGCGAACUCCGGCGUAUCGCCCAUUUUUUACAGGCAAUAUGGAGAGGCUGAACGUGGAGACCAAAGAGUUAAUCACCCCCCCCCUCCCCAUCCCCUUAGUUUAGGUUCUAAUUUUUGUUGUAGUUGUAGUUUUAAGUUUAUUGCAAAGAAGCUUUCAUGGUAGGAGAAUUUGUUAGACAAAAGCUUCUUUCUUUUGUCCUUUUUGCUCAUAUUUUGCUGUACAUAUAGUGUUAAACCAUUGCAAUGAACUUACUAAAUGAAGUAUUUUUUUUUGUUUUCUAUAUUUUUUUCUACUUUAAUUUUAUAAUUUUCUUCUUGUUUGAAAUUUUGCAAUUUUCAUGUUAGAAGAUGAAUAAAACAGUUUUCAUAUGUCAAAAUUAAUUCAUAUAUUAUAAUGAAUCUAGUUUAUCCCCGAUUAUGUAGAUUUAUACAAAAUUAAUUGCAAAGUCAAUGGAGUUUAGAAUUUACCGAACUCAAUAUCUAUGGGUGAACAUCUACGUAAUCGAUGAAUUCAACUAUGCGGGUUGGUGAAACGGUAAACAAACAUUAGUACAUAGUCAAAAAUAUAAAUAAUUAAAUAAAUAAAAUUGAUUUGAGGGUCAUUGAUUGUGUCCAGUGUAAAUCAUAGACGUAAAGCCUUGUGAAUAAUAUACCGUAUUGAUUUAUUGCCCAUAGUACAAUAUUAUGAAAAAAGGGAAUAAUUAAUUAAUUAAAAAUAAAUAAUUGAAUUUUAUUCAAUUAAAGGAGCAUAAACAAGUCAUGUGAUAGUAUAAGAGUCCACGUAAAUUGAAGAAAGUGAUCAAAGAUGUGUGAGGAUGGGUAAUAAAUAACAAAUGAAUUAAAUAAAUAAAAUUUAAUUAUUUAUUAUUUUAUUAAUUAAAUAAUCCUUUUCAAAAUAUGUGCUAGUUAUGGUCUAUACAAAUGCAAGUCAUGUCUUACUUUUUGCGGGGCAUAAGAGUUCAAUCCCAAAAGCUAGUCUAAUUAAGUUGUAUCAUUUAACUUGUAAACUCCUUAGUAUAUAUCAAGGCUGGCACCCUCUUGAGACUCUACCGUCCUUGCAUACAAGUUACCACUCUAAAUUGUACUGUAAAUGCAAACACAGAAAUUGCGAAUGGAGAGUAUUAAAAGAUUAGUAAAAGACAUCAUUUCCACCCCAAACUAUACCCGAAAAGUCUAAGUCAAACCUAAACUAUACUAGUGAUCCAUUACACACCUAAACUAUAUAAAAGUGAUAUUAUUACCUCCCCGCGACACCCAUGCCCGAGUUUAAUGAGUGGAGUGCACUCCGCUCGCCCUCUUGUGGUGCCACGUGUCUAAUUUAAUUUUCCUUUUUUAUUAAAGCUUAACCCGACCCUAUUACUCUUUUAACCCAUCUAUUUAACCCAUCCAACCCGACUCGACCUCAUAUUAUACCCUAACCCGAUUAAACCACUUCAUCCAAAUGAAAAGUCAUCGGAUGAGAUCAAAAACGGGGUAAAAGAUUCACCUCUCUUCACUCUUUCAAUUUUUUAUCAAAUUUAAACCCGAUAGAAGAGCUAAACAAUAAUUUUGUUCUGUUUUUCAUUGUUGACAAGUAAAAAUUAUUUUUUAUCUCUUUUCAGUUGAAGUUGAUUGGGUUGAUUUCAAUGGAGGUGGUACGAUCUAGGAUAAACACUUAAGGUUACGAUCUUUUAUGUAGGAACUACUGAUUUUCAGUUCAAAGGUUAGCUUUUUCUUUCCUAAAUAUAGUAUAUCUAGGAUUUAUUUUCGUUCCUAAAUUAGAUCUACGGUUUUUUGAGUUAGGAUUUUUCCGUCUUUAAUUUGUCCAAAUUAGCGUUUUAUUUUCAUUUAGAUGCUCAAUAUGUGCUAAUAUAACCCUUGACAUUUAUAAUAGUUCGAUUUUACUAGGGUUUUGACUAGGGUUUUUAAUUAGGGCUUUUGAAUUAGAGGUUUUUGUUGUCUUUAAUUUAUCUUGAAAACUGAUCUGUUAUAGUUUAUUUAUGUGCUUCAAUCUGUAACAAUAUGAGCUGUGAGGUUCAAUAUGUGAUAAAUAACUUGUGAUACUUAUAAUUGUUGCAUAAAUACUAUAAUUUUUUUAUUUUUGUGUAACAAUAUGAGCUGUGAGGUUUAAUAUGUCAAGCUGCUAUAUGUAGAGGUAUUGAGAAGAAAAAAUAUUUUUGGAGGUGUGCAAGAUCUACCUUUGAGGCUGAGCUUAGGGACAACAUUAGCUAUAUGAAGAUGUUAGGGGGAGAAGAAAUACUAUGUAAGUUGAUGUAUUUUAAUCCAGAGAGAUGGAGCAAUGUUUACUUUAGCUUUGGAACAAAGUGUGAUGUUGUAGACAAUAACAUGGCAGAAUGUCUAAUGCAUGGAUUUUAGGAGUUAGGCAUAAGACUAUAAUUACAAUGUUAGAGGAGAUAAGGGUAAAAAUGAUGAAAAGACUGGGACAGAUGAGGGAUUUUUGUGAAACUUGGAUCAGUGACAUUUCUCCAAUGGCUAUGAAGGUGCUAAAUGAUAAUACAACAAGGUCUAUGAAGUGCAGCAUAGAAUAGAAUUCUGAUACAGGGUAUUAGGUGCUUGAUAGAGGAUAUAGGCAUAUUGUGGAUCUUGGUAGAAAAUAUUGCAGUUGUAGAGCAUGGAUGUUGAAGGGCAUACCGUGUCCUCAUGCAGUGGCUGCUCUUCACCACAAAAAAUUGGAACCAAUAAACUAUAUGUCUCACUAAGAAACUUACAUGAACACAUAUAGUUUCUUCAUUCAACCAGUUUUGAAUAUGAAGAUGUGGCCAUAAUCACAGAAUAUCUCUGUUAUGCCACCUCCUGUUAAGAAGCUGCCAGGUAGGCUUGGAAAGAAUAGGAAGAAAGAAAAAGGUGAAACCAAAAAGAAAACUGAAAAGUUGUCCAAGAGGGGGAUUGAGAUUUCAUGUGGCACUUGCCAUAGCAAGGGUCACAACAAAAGAAGAUGUCCAACAGGUGCACCUGCUGGCACUAAUGCAAAUCCUGGCCCAAGUCCAUCUGCUGGUGCAGACCCAAGUGUAGGUCCAAGUGUAGUCUCAAAUGCAGCACCUACUGUUGGAAAAGGGAAAGGUUCAACUGGAAAAGAAAGGGGUAGACCACCAAAGAAUUCUACGGAAAAGGUAUUUUAUUUAAUUUGACAGUGUUGUGAACUAAUUAUGCUUGCCUUAUACUAAAUAUCUUUUUUUCUUUAUUUUUAGUAUGCUGAUAGACCAAGAAUGGUUGGAAUGGGAUUACUUCACACACAAAGUGGAGACACAAUUCUUAGUGUAAGUUUACUACUACAUUUACUAUCUAAAUUUUAUUUACUACAAUUUCAUUUACUAAAGUUGACACUUUCUUCAUUUGAGCAGCCGGGAAUGCCUAGUGAAAGACUCAAAACUGCCAAGUCUUCAGCAUUUGUGACUGAAAAUCUCGGAUAUACAUCAAAAACUGGUGUAAAAUGGAAAGAAAAAAAAAGCUAUGACCUCCAGGCAACUACAAGAAAUGAGAGGCAGAAAACAAAUGCAAACAAGGUCCAAGGCUGCACACUUAAGUCAAGAAAGCUUCAAUAUUCAAUCUCUAUGAGAAGUUGGUGUAAAUUACAUUUAACACUGUAUAAAGCUUGGCAGUUGUGACUGCAUUUAAGACUAUUUUUGAUAAUUCACUGAUGUUGGCAGCUGGGAUUGCAUUUAACACUAUUUUUUGGUAGUUCACUGAUGUUGGCAGCUGUGACUGCUUUAAGAACAAUUUAUUAGUGGCAGCUUUGACUGCAUUUUGUAACUGUAAUUAGUUUAACAGUAUUGAUCUUUUUGUAAAUGUAUUUGGCUGCAAGAUGUAAUUGACACUUAUUUUUUGUUAAUGAUUGUGCAGUUGUAAGUUCAUUGUUGCUGAAAUUUGUGUUUUUACUUUUGCACCAGUUAUGGCUGCAUUUAUUAAUAUUAAAUUUGUGUUGUGAUAUUGAAAUUUGUGUUUGUGCUUGUACAACAACUGUGAUUGCAUUUAGUGUUGUGAUAUAUAUAAAUUGCAACACAAAGAACCACUGAAAACAAAGCCAAAACUGUUAAGUUCAACCGUACAAUUUCAUUACACAANNNNNNNNNNNNNNNNNNNNNNNNNNNNNNNNNNNNNNNNNNNNNNNNNNNNNNNNNNNNNNNNNNNNNNNNNNNNNNNNNNNNNNNNNNNNNNNUGGACUUAGCCAACUUGAUCUUCCAUUUCUUCUGAUUUGCCUUCAUCAUCUUCAAAUUAUCCUGAAAAUUGUCCAUUUGCAAUUCUAUUUUGUUAAUGUCUAUUUUGCUCUCCACAGAUUUGGUUGUCCUAGUAGUCUUGUCAUCAACUAUUUUGUGUUCACAAAAUACACAAUUUGCCAAAGAUUCAACUCUUUCCUUAAGCUCCCCAAUUCUUCCCAACAAUUUAGGAAUAACAAAUUCGAUCGUUCAUCAAUAGAAUCAUCCUUCCAAAGCCAAAAAGUGCAUGAUCUAGCAUUCUAAAAUAAAAGCAAUUAGAUUCUUAUGCACUAUUCAAGAUCAAUGUUUGAAGGAAAAAUUAACUUACGCCAUAGUAAGGACAAGUCCAAUAUCGUCUACCCAGAUUUCUUGAGGUCCAUGAAGUCAUCAAAGGCAAAAAAUGUCCAUGUUUGCAUCGAACCUCGACCAACUCGUGAUCUUCUUCUUGCUUACAAAGUCUACUCAAACUUAUCUUAGUCAUUAAAGUACCUUGAUUAAGAAAACAAGGUUUAAGAGAGGUUGAACAACACUUGAGGGAAGAAAAAAUUAUGAAAAUGGCAACAAAAUUAAGACAAAAUAAUCAUCAAUAUAGCAAGAAAUGGAAGAAUUAGAAAGAUUUCGUUACCAAUUCUUCAAACAAAUGCUCUUCAAUUUUGAUUUUGAGAGACAAAAUUGGGAAUUAGGGUUUCCUUUUGAGCCCCAAAUUGGUUUUAAAUAAGAAUAGAUCCGUUGCAAAUUAAAGAUGACGUACUUUUAGCCGUUUACGUUUGUCAUUGAAUAGGUUGGAUGCGCUUACAUCAAAUGUAACAUACACGCCUAAGAAUGGGUGUCGCGGGGAGGUAAUAAUAUCAUUUUUAUAUAGUUUAGAUGUGUAAUGGAUCACUUAUAUAAUUUAGGUGUGACUUAAACUUUUCGGGUAUAGUUUGAGGUGGAAACGAUGCCUUUUUCCUACUAUAAAAUGAUACUAUAAAGAAUAUACAUACAUGUACUAAUAGAAUUUUAAAUAAAUAUUUAUAAAGUCAAUUUAAUUCUAUUAUAUUUUUACCUAAAUUAAAAUCAAAUCAUUUAAUUUUUAUUGGUGUAAGAUUGAGUCCUUCGUCAUCCAAACGCUACAAUCAAACCAAAAAUUUUCUAAUUUUGCCAUGUCCGGUAUUUGUCUUUUAUGACAUCUUACUUAACUUUACUAAUCUACAAAUGUUAAAUCAGCAGGUUAUCAUAAAUUAUACAUGAACUUCCCACAGGAAAGAAAAAAAAAAUUGUUGUCUUAUGUCAUAUAGUGGAUUUUAAAUAAGGAGGAAUAGAUCAAACAACUCCAAACUUGUAAACAAAUUUUUACAUAUUUAAAAUACAUGUUUUGAUUGAAUACCUGAACACAUAUAAAGUGUCUCCAGACAUUUUUGACUAAAAUUUAGAAAAAGUUUUUGCAUGUGUUUUCAAAAUUCAAACAACCAUUAUAUAAAUAAGUUAACUACUUGAAAUAUGUCACCUCCUUUAAUUAUAUCCAUUAGUCUCAAUAAAUCAGUAAAACCUCAAAACUUUUCAAAUUGAGGUCGAUGUAUAUGGAAUGUAAGUUUAAUGACGUGAGGCGGGAGAAUGAGGUAGUAGUGAGGCUAGAAGCACAGGAGGUAGGGAAGAGGGAUAAGUUCAAGUAUCUCGGGUCCGUGAUCCAGAGUAACGGUGAGAUUGACGAGGAUGUCUCGCACCGUAUUGGGGCGGGAUGGAUGAAGUGGAAACUCGCAUCGGGGGUGCUGUGUGAUAAGAAGGUGCCGCCCAAGCUUAAAGGCAAAUUCUAUAGGGUGGUAGUCCGUCCGGCCUUGCUGUAUGGAGCGGAGUGUUGGCCAGUUAAGAACUCCCACAUCCAAAAAAUGAAGGUGGCAGAAAUGCGGAUGUUGCGCUGGAUGUGUGGACUGACCCGAGGGGAUAGAGUUCGGAAUGAGACUAUCCGGGAGAAGGUUGGUGUGACUUCAGUGGAGUGUAAGAUGCGGGAAGCACGAUUGAGAUGGUUCGGACACGUGAAGAGGAGGGGCAUGGAUGCCCCGGUCCGUAGGUGUGAGAGGCUAGCGUUGGAUGGUUUUAGACGGGGUAGGGGUAGACCGAAGAAGUACUGGGGUGAGGUGAUUAGGCGGGACAUGGAACAGUUACAGCUCACCGAGGACAUGACCCUAGAUAGGAAGGUCUGGAAGACGCGAAUUACGGCAGAGGAUUAGGGCCAGUGCGGGUCGCUAGUGUAGGGGAUUAAUUGGUGGGGGUGUAUUCCUGUUAUGAUUCUGUAUUCAGUGUUUCGUGUUCCGUGUUUCAUGUCUAUUACGAAUCUGGGUGCUUUCCUCUGCUUUAUAUUCCUGCAAUCCUGCUUUACUCUGUUUUAUAUUCCCUAUGGGUGCCGUAUCUAUGUUAUGUCAUCUGCUGCUGUGCUGUACUAUGUGUUUGUGUGAUAUCUCGUGACUUGAGCCGGGGGUCUUUCGGAAACAGCCUUUCUACUUCAUCAGAGGUAGAGGUAUGGACUGCGUACAUCUUACCCCCCCAGACCCCACUAAGUGGGAAUACACUGGGUUUGUUGUUGUUGUUGUUGUAUGUGAUUAAGUUAUCUAUUUAAUAAAUGAUAGAAAAGAGGCACAAAAGUUUUUCCAAUAAUUGUAUAAAAAGUGUCUAAUACAAACAUUUUAUCAAGCGUUUAGGUGUUCAAUAAGAACAUACACUAGUUCGAGUUUCUAAAUAAAAUUCAAUGACAAGUUUAAAGGGUUGUUGUUAUAUUCCCUUAUUAAACAAUGCUGAGCGCCUUUCUUUUUAAUUUGUUUUUCUUUCUUUCCGUUUUAGUUAGUUUAAAAAAGAAUAUGUAUUUUUUUCGGCAACUCUUAAUUCUAGCUUUCUAUAUACAUGCUUAAGACCACAAGAUUGGAUAUUUUGUUACAUUCUACAAAUCUUAGUUGCAAGACUAAACUUUUUAUGUCUAAGUCAAAACUAGAUAAACAAAUUGAAACGGAUGAGUACAAUGGAAAACAAGAAAAGUAUCCUCGUUAGCCAAAUGCCUUUUCUUUAUUACUCCAUCUACUAAAAGUAUCCUCGUUAGCCAAAUGCCUUUUCUUUAUUACUCCAUCUACUUAACUUGUUCUUCUUAUUAAGGAAAGAGAUUUAGCCUCCAUUUGCCUGUGUUAAUAUAUGAGCAAAGGCUUUAGCAUUUCAAGUAAUAUGAAUUGCUUCAAAGCAGCAGCAUUAAUGAUCAUGUCCAUCAUGUUUUUCCCAUAUCAUUGGACUUAGUUUUUUCUCAGACCAAUAGUCUCAACAAGUGUUUCCUGGAUAUGAACAUUUCAGGGGAGGCCUGUACAACUUUAGACAAUUACACUUGGGAUGGUUUUUUAAAUAAUCACCCUUGUUUUGGAUUAGCUUUCAAUACAUAUUUACAAGCAUUGGCACAUUGGACUAACCAAACAAGACAUAUGUUUCUCAAUUCCACACAACAAAGUGACUGCUUAACUUUGAUAAUAACAAUAGUUCUGCUGAUAACUUUAGCUGUGGCAUUGAAAAGUUGACUAGUACUGGUGCCGGAGGCUGCUCUGAUAAUUAGAGAUCGACGUUGAGAACAAACUAGGAAGCAGAUUGAAAAGUCUGAGAGAUGACUCUAGGCUAAUGGAUUCAGGAGGAGGACUUAAGACUAUGGGUUGCAAUAAGUGUUUGAGGACAUGGAGAGAAAUAGCGAAAAAUGAUAUGAUGAAACUUGAAGAUGAUAUUUAUAGAUUUAGUAUGCUGAUUUUAUUAACAAGCCAAAGAGUUUCUGAUGAGAGUUGGGUUGACAAAAUCUUUCAUUACCUAGGAGACAAUUCUCUUCCUUUAGGUAAGUUUACUUCCUGCCUGCUAUAAACAUGUUCAAGUUUUGUUCUUCCAAGUUUUAACAUUUAACUAUGAUCUUGAUUGAUCAUUUUACUGUGCAGCUUCUUCUGUGGACGAUAGUGGAAAUGAAACUAGACGUCGAACUAAAUUUAAAACUGGUAAAUCUUGAAAUCCAUUUUCAUAAAAAUCACUGAUAUUGCUGCGGCGUUUCAGGACAAAAAUGUGUUCUUUUGGUUAAGCAUUGGUUUAUAUAUGCAGAUCUUUGGAUUCUAAUUGGUGGCGUAGUGGGUAUGGUGUUAGUAAUAAUCGUUACAUUGUGGAUCUUAUGGAAAAGGAAGGCUGAAGUUAAACCAUCAAGUGGAAGAUAUAGUAAGCCCUCUACACCAACAAUCAUUGUUCCAAAUCUGAAAUCAAUUUUCAUAAAAAUCACUGAUAUUGCUGCGUUUCAGGACAUAAAAGUGUUCUUUUGGUUAAGCAUUGGUUUAUAUAUAUAUAUGCAGAUCUUUGGAUUCUAAUUGGUGGCGUAGUGGGUAUGGUGUUAGUAAUAAUCGUUACAUUGUGGAUCUUAUGGAAAAGGAAGGCUGAAGUUAAACCAUCAAGUGGAAGAUAUAGUAAGCCCUCUACACCAACAAUCAUUGUUCCAAAUGUUUUUAGCUUAUUCCAAUUUUGCUUCAUGUUGGCAGUAUCAGAUGAAUCUUACUCUGAUGAAUCAACCUAUCGUAGACUAUCGCUUAAAGAAAUUUACUCCGCGACUGACAAUCUUAGCAUGUCCAACUUUAUAGGUCAAGCCCUAGCUGAUAAGAAAAUCGAACGAUGUAUAGUUGGCGUAGUCUCAGUAUUUUAAGUAUCAAAGGUACUCAAUUUCAUUGACAAUUCUUGAUAUUAGUAACAUUCAUAAGUCAGAAUAUCAUAUCUAGGGAGGUCUAACUUCCCUUUUUCCAAUUUCUUUACGAAUCGUUCCUUUUGAAAGUUGGGUAUUGAAAUGAUCGUAUUUUAUAGGGAAAGUAUACAAAGGAAUUCUGGCAGAUAGAAAACAUGUGGCAGUUAAGCACAUAAUUAAAGAUGAACAGAUGGAAACAUUUGUUAGAGAAGUUACAAGUCUCUCGCAUAUCAAACAUCCAAACCUUGUAUCCCCGCUAGGCCAUUAUGAUGGACCAAAUGAGUGUUUUCUAGUUUAUGAGCUAUGCCACAAUGGAAAUCUUUCCGAAUGGCCAUUUGGUAUGUUCUUUUCUCUUUGAACAUUUCUGAUCUUUGUCAACCUAAAUAAUAGUAUGUCAUAGAUCUCUAUACACCUGAUGAGCAGGUAAAAGUAAAUAUCUCUUGUGGAGACGCAGACUAGAAAUUGCACUUGAUUGUGCCCGUGGUCUCCUCUUUCUCCACUCAUAUCCUGAAGGCUCCAUUGUUCACCGGGAUAUCAAGGCAAAAUCUUAUUUCACAUCCAUAAUCUGUUCAUCCAUUUCCUAAAAAAAUUCUCAGUCAUCUUUCUCUUUUUUGGUGAAAGUUUGCAGCCAGCAAACAUUCUUCUAUCUUCUAGCUUUGAAGCCAAACUCUCAGACUGUCUGUCCAAAAUUAUUGGCAUUGGCCACCCAUACGCUAGCUCAGAAGUGAGAGGAACCUUUGGUUAUGUUGAUCCUGAGUACCAAAAGAACCGGCACGUUAAUACUUAUGGUGAUGUCUAUAGCUUUGGGAUAGUGCUGCUACUACUUUUAUCUGGGCAAAGGGUUAUCAACUUGGAUUUGAAGAAGCCUAUGCCUCUUAAGUAAAAUGGUAAACAUACUAACUCCUCCAUUUUCUCUUGCAUCUCCUUUCAACUUCUUUCUUUAGCGCGCGUCUUUUUUGAAUCAUAGGCGAAAAACCUGACCAAAGGUGGGAACAUCAAAGAAUAUGCUGAUCCAAAACUGGAGGGAAAAUUCUCAAUGGUGGCAUUGUUAUUUUCCACAAUACGGGGACGUAGAAUCGGUAUAAUAGAAUAACAACUUCAACUCGAGUUCAAGUAUGAACAAGAACACAACGAAGUUGAACAAAUACCCUCAACACAAGAUCAAAAUGAUCUUUACAAGAGGUGUAUUUUAUAUUUCAGAAAUAUAGAUGAAACAGAAAUUGUUAAGGCCAAGUCGUCCGAAUUCACGGACUUUCCUUAAGGAAUAAUUCCCCUCACUGUACCCGAGGUUAUGGAAUCUUCCUCCCAGGAUAAAAUGGCCUUCAAUCCGACUAUAGCGGUACCUCAAAUAGGCGGAUUCUUCGAACACACUCACGGUUUGAAUGAUCACACUUAGAGUAUUUUUAAGAAGAAGAAGAAGCUUGUAAUUCUGGAAAAAAAAAAUUCUCUAUCUUAACCUGUGGAAGAAAGCAGGUUAUUUAUAGCCACAACAUGCCUCUUCUGAAGAGAGGCAAUGGUUCAAUCCAAAGGUUGCACCUUUGCUGUAAGUUUAUGUCUGUUCAUGAAAGAUUGCAUCUUUUUCUGAACACUCAUCUUGUUUCAUGAAUAAGUGUGUCCUUUUGCUGAAUGGUUGCAUCAGUUUGUUCAACCAGUACAUCAGUUCAGAAAAUUCAAACAGUGCCUGCACAGUUUCAAAACACUGUUCACUGCACAGUUUUGAAACACUGGGAAUAUAAAUGGAGUCCAACAGAAAAUAUUUCUUGCAUUUUACAUAUAUUCAGAUCAUAUUUUCGUCAAAUAAAAUUUGUGCAAAAAGACAGAUCUCAUCGAUCGAUCAUUUGCCAAAUCCAAAUCCAAAUCCGAGCCGAGCGACGACGACGACGGCGCAAGGCAUCUCUAUUUUCUUGCCUCACUUAUCAUGUGGAGUAAGUGUUCAUUAAUAUAAACAAUACAAAGUUUCAUUCUCCCACCAACGUGGGAGAAUUAGUGGACUUUCCACUUUGGGAGUAUACCUUCUAAAUUGGUAUCUCCUUCCUUCCACAAUUUUUAUCCAUUUUUUCGAUUCACACUUCAUUCAUAUACUAUGAACCCAACAAUCCCCCACAUGAAGAAGGUAUAUAACAAUUACUAUUAAGAAGAAGGUAUAUUUUUUAAUUUUAUUUUUUCUGGAUUUUACUAAUUUUUAGAAACUAUAUUACAAGAAUCAAUGACAAAUAUUCUGAGAUGAAAGUGCAACUCACAUUUUUAUGGACUAAUUUGUUUAAAAAAAAAGGUAAGUGGACAUAGGUGGGGGUUGGGGGUUGGUGGGUGGGUUGGAUCUUUUACUUAUUUAAUUAUUACCUUCCGUAUUUUAGAAUGAAUAUGCUCUUUUUAUUUUAGCAACCAACUCCCAAUUGUGGUAUCUCUCUUUGAAGCGGAUUCCACUUCGCCCGCACAUAGGAGAUUUCUGAACGUUCAAUCUUGUAGAUUAAACUAUUUGGUCAAAUCUGCCAAAUUUAGAUAAUCAUUAAAAGACUUUUCACCUUAAGUCUUAUCCUUGUUUACUAUACAUUGUCUACAUCAUGAGAAUGGGUUGGGUAAUUGACAAUGUUGAACCUGUCAGACACAACUUUGUUUGAUCUCCUUGAAUCUAGCUCUUGGGAUCUCCAGUUUGCUAGGUAGAUUUACCUCCAUGUUGACUUGUCCUAGGCCUUAAACCCAUUCCCUUGGAUGUUCUUUCCAUUCCUUCUCUAGAUAGGCCUUUUAUAAGUGGAUCCGACACAUUAUCCUUUGACUUUACAUAGUCUAUAGUGAUAAUUUCACUAGAGAGAAGUUCUCUAAUGGUAUUAUGUCUUCAUCUUAUAUGAAGAGAUUUAUCUUUAUACAUCAUGCUCUCUGCCCUACCUAUUUCUGCUUGGCUAUCACAGUGUAUACAUACUGGUGCCACUGGCUUGGGCCAAUACGAAAUAUCUUCCAAGAAAUUUUGGAGCCAUUCUGCUUCUUCACCGGCUUUAUCUAAUGCGGUAAAUUCAGAAUCCAUUGUAGAGAGAGCGAUACAAGUCUGUUUGGAUGAUUUCCAAGAAACUACUCCUCCACCGAUAGUAAAUACAUAUCCACUUGUGGAUUUUACUUCAGUCGAUCCGGUGAUCCAAUUUGCAUUACUAUAUCCUUCAAGUACUGCAGGAUAUUUAUUAUAAUGCAAAGCAUAAUUUUGAGUGUAUUUAAGAUACCCCAAAACUCUUUUCAUUGCAAUCCAGUGAGUUUUGUUGGGAUUACUCGUGUACCGACUCAAUUUACCGAUAGCGCAUGCUAUGUCUGGUCGAGUACAAUUCAUUAUAUACAUUAAACAUCCCAAUACUCUUGCGUACUCCAAUUGUGAGUCACUUUCACCUUCAUUUUUUCGAAGUGCAAAGCUCCCAUCCAAUGGAGUCUUGGCAAUACCGAAUUCCAUAUACUUGAACUUAUCAAGUACCUUUUCGAUAUAAUGAGACUAUGAAAAAGCCAACCCUUGUGGAGUUCGAUGGAUUCUUAUACCUAAGAUAACAUCUGCGACUCCAAGGUCCGUCAUAUCAAACUUGCUCUUGAGCAUUCGUUUUGUUGCAUUUAUGUCAGAAAUGUCUCUACUGAUGAUCAACAUAUCAUCCACAUAUAAACAUACAAUGACUUGGUAAUUUGGAGUGUCUUUAAUAUAAACACAUUUAUCACAUUCAUUUAUUUUGAAUUUGUUUGCCAACAUGGUUUGGUCAAACUUUGCAUGUCAUUGUUUUGGUGCUUGCUUUAGUCCAUAUAAUGACUUGAUAAGUUUACACACCUUGUUUUCCUUUCCUGGAACAACAAAUCCCUCAGGUUGUUCCAUGUAUAUUUCUUCCUCCAAAUCUCCAUUUAGGAAUGCGGAUGCGGUUUUCACAUCCAUUUGAUGGAUUUGAAGAUCAUAUAAUGCCGCCAAGGCAAUUAACAUUCGAAUUGAUGUUAUCCUUGUUACUGGCAAGUAUGUAUCAAAGUAAUCAAGGCCUUCCUUCUGUUUGAAGCCUUUUACUAUAAGUCUUGCCUUGUAUUUGUCAAUAGUACCAUCCGCCUUCAUUUUCCUUUUGAAGAUCUAUUUAGAACCGAAAGGUUUAUUUUCAGGAGGAAUGCCAACCAAUUCCCAUGUAUGGUUGUUUAAGAUUGAAUCAAUCUCACUAUUGACUGCCUCUUUCCAAAAGGAUGAGUCUGAUGACAACAUCGCUUCUUUAAAUGUUUGAGGCUCAUUUUCUAAGAGAAAUGUUACAAAAUUUGAUCCAAACAAAGUUGACGUUCUUUGACGUGUACUACGUCUUGGAUUUUCUUAAUUAUGUACAUUCUCACUUGGUUCAUCUCGAGGUCGUUUNNNNNNNNNNNNNNNNNNNNNNNNNNNNNNNNNNNNNNNNNNNNNNNNNNNNNNNNNNNNNNNNNNNNNNNNNNNNNNNNNNNNNNNNNNNNNNNNNNNNNNNNNNNNNNNNNNNNNNNNNNNNNNNNNNNNNNNNNNNNNNNNNNNNNNNNNNNNNNNNNNNNNNNNNNNNNNNNNNNNNNNNNNNNNNNNNNNNNNNNNNNNNNNNNNNNNNNNNNNNNNNNNNNNNNNNNNNNNNNNNNNNNNNNNNNNNNNNNNNNNNNNNNNNNNNNNNNNNNNNNNNNNNNNNNNNNNNNNNNNNNNNNNNNNNNNNNNNNNNNNNNNNNNNNNNNNNNNNNNNNNNNNNNNNNNNNNNNNNNNNNNNNNNNNNNNNNNNNNNNNNNNNNNNNNNNNNNNNNNNNNNNNNNNNNNNNNNNNNNNNNNNNNNNNNNNNNNNNNNNNNNNNNNNNNNNNNNNNNNNNNNNNNNNNNNNNNNNNNNNNNNNNNNNNNNNNNNNNNNNNNNNNNNNNNNNNNNNNNNNNNNNNNNNCCCCUAUCACUUCUUAUCAUUUUGAUCUUUUUGUCUAACUAAUUUUCAACUUUAGUUUUAUAUUGCCUAAACGCAUCUAUUGCUUCAUCCUUACUAUUUAGCAAGUAGACAUAAUAAUAUCUAGUGCAAUCAUCAAUAAAAGUUAUGAAAUACUUUUUCCCAGCACGAGAUGGUGUUGACUUCAUAUCAUAAAUGUCAGUGUGUAUUAAGUCUAAGGAAUUCGAAUUCCUUUCAAUGGACUUAUAAGGAUGUUUUGUAUACUUCGAUUCCACACACGUUUGACAUUUUGAUUUAUUGCACUCAAAGUUUGGCAAAACUUCUAAGUUAAUCAGUUUUCGUAAUGUUUUGUAAUUAACAUGGCCUAAACGUUCAUGUCAUAAAUCAUAAGACUCAAGCAAAUAAGAUGAAUUCGAACUUUUAUUCAUUUCAACAGUCAUUACAUUCAUCUUAUAAAGGCCUUCUAUGAGAUAGCCUUUUUCUACAUACAUUUCUCCUUUGCUAACUACAAUUUUUCCAGAAAUGGUUACACAUUUGAAUCCGGUCUUAUCUAGGAGUGAAACAGAAAUUAAUUUCCUACUUAACUCCGGAACAUAUAGCAUAUUGUUCAGUGUCAAGACCUUUCCGGAAGUCAUCUUUAGGCAAAUUUUUCAUGUUCCCUCCACCUUAGCAGUAGCGAAGUUGGCCAUGUAAAGCAUUUCUUCUGCUUGAGCCGGAGCAAAUGACGAGAACAACUCUUUGUUUGCGUAAACAUGGCGUGUGGCACCAGAAUCCAUCCACCAUUCGCGUGGAUUCCCCACCAAGUUGCAUUUCGUGAACAUAGCACACAAAUUAUCAUAUUGUUUGUUGGACUCAAUCAUGUUCGCUUGGUCCUUUUUCUUGUCUUUCUUCGGGGCUCGACAGUCUAUAGACUUGUGGCCAAUUUUGCCACAAUUGAAGAAUUUUCCCUUGAACUUUUUCUUGGGUUGAUUGCUUCCAUGUUCAACUUUCUUUCUUUUCUUCGAGUUGUUUUGGCCAUCUUCUACAAUAUGGGCUCCAUUCAUUGUAGAAUUUCCCUUUGACCUUCUUUCGGAAGCUUUAUUGUCCUCUUCAAUACGAAGUCGGAAGAUAAGAUCUUCAACGGUCAUCUCCUUGCGUUUAUGCUUUAAGUAGUUUUUGAAGUCUUUCCACAAAGGUAGUAGCUUCUCAACUAUCGCUGCUACUUGGAAAACGUCAUUCACAAUUAAACUUUCUGCUAGGAGAUCAUGUAUGAUGACUUGCAACUCCUGUACUUGAGAGACAACAGAUUAGCUAUCUAUCAUUUUGAAGUCUAGGAACCGUGAAACAAGGAAUUUCUUAAUUCCCGCAUCCUCCAUCUUAUAUUUCCAUUCAAGUGCCCCCCACAGUUCCUUUGGGUUCCACUAUAGACAUUAUAGAGGUCGUCUUGGAGACCACUCAGAAUAUAGUUCCUGCAAAGGAAAUUCGAAUGUUUCCAAGCUUCUACAAUAACGAAACAGUCCUUGUCCGAGGUUCCCUCGGGCACCUCGGGAGCGUCUUCGCUAGUGAACCGUUUUAGACAUAAAGUGGUGAGGUAAAAGAACAUCUUUUGAUGCCACUGCUUGAAGUCAAUGCCAGAAAAUUUUUCGAGCUUCUUCGCCGGUGCCAUCGUUGGCGGAGCAUUUGUGCGACUUGAUGUGGCAAUAUUAUUUUCUCCCAUAGACGUUGUCGCAUCCAUCAUUUGACUUUCAGUUGUCAUUUUUUCCUGUCACCACAAGACAGAAAACUUAGUAUUUUUCAGAAUACUAUUUAUGAAGUUAAAUAACUUGAAACUCUUCUUCUUGUUUUUAGUUAACGAUGAAUUUUUUAUUACUUCGAAUCGUCAACCGAGUGAACCUUAACUUGUGAUGAAGGUUUUAUGUCUUCUAAUCACUAGUUAAAUUCAAGCGGAGUAGAAAGCCUAAGCUUUAAUCUCCAAAAACAAGCAAUACAGAUUCUGUAAAGAUAUUCCUUAAGAUUGUUAUUUUCCACAAUACGGGGACGUAGAAUCUGUAUAAUAGAAUAACAACUUCAAAUCGAGUUCAAGUAUGAACAAGAACACAACGAAGUUGAACAAAUAUCCUCAACACAAGAUCAAAAUGAUCAUUACAAGAGGUGUAUUUUAUAUUUCAGAAAUAUAGAUGAAACGGAAAUUGUUAAGGCCAAGUCGUCCGAAUUCACAGACUUUCCUUAAGGAAUAAUUCCCCUCACUGUACCCGAGGUUAUGGAAUCUUCCUCCCAGGAUAAAAUGGCCUUCAAUCCGACUAUAGCGGUACCUCAAAUAGGCGGAUUCUUCGAACACACUCACGGUUUGAAUGAUCACACUUAGAGUAUUUUUAAGAAGAAGAAGAAGCUUGUAAUUCUGGAAAAAAAAAAUUCUCUAUCUUAACCUGUGGAAGAAAGCAGGUUAUUUAUAGCCACAACAUGCCUCUUCUGAAGAGAGGCAAUGGUUCAAUCCAAAGGUUGCACCUUUGCUGUAAGUCUAUGUCUGUUCAUGAAAGAUUGCAUCUUUUUCUGAACAGUCAUCUCCAUUUUUUCCAUUCACACUUCAUUCAUAUACUAUGAACCCAACAGGCAUUUGAACUUGUAUUUAAGCUAGCUUUGAGUAGCAUAGGGCUUAAGAAGCAAAGACCAUCCAUGGAACAGGUGGUUGCUAAACUCGAAGAGGCUCUUGAUCUAUCAACAAGAAUUGAGUCAGUCCAUCCUUAGUUCAAGUCAGUCCAUUCUCUUUAUCUGGUUAGUCCAGAUUAAAUCUGAUAGCUCACGUACAAUUCACUUUUGUUAAUGCUACCCAAGAUUUCAGAAGUGAAUCUCGAAUUUACAGUCAGUAGGUCCAGAAAGAGUUCAAUACAUUAGUAUAAAUUUUUCAUAUAUGUUCUUAUGGCAAGCGGAAAGCAAUGGUUCCCAUUAACUCGCUGAAGAUCUGCCUUUGUACAAUUACUUCAGUUUCCUUUUAUGGACAUUUAGAUGAUCUCAAUUAGGUGAUGAAACUGAAGAAUCAUCAACGAUAAAAAGUGUAUAGUGAUUGUACAUUUGUACCAAGUGAUUCAGAUAAGAAAAUUAUUACUAUUAUUAACUUGAAGAGUACAGGGAGUGAUGCUUACAUAACAAGGAUUCACAUUAACAUCAUGAGUAUAGAGAUACAAGUAAAACUAUACAAAGCUUCAUUCAAAAAAACAGAAGCUGCAGCAGUGUAGUGACUAGCUCUUAAAACUUGAGCCCAUAUCACCAGUCAAUGGAAAGGACACCAAAGCAUCCUACACCAUGGUCGUCCAUGGUUUAUAUAUACAAGUUGGAUGCUUGAAAAUAUUUACCACACAUUAAUGAAUUGAUCCUCUAUAAAAACUGGAGAGACCAAUCCAGAAUAGGUCUUCUCAUUGUACUCAUGCAAGAUUCUGAUGAGUGUACUAGCUUUCUUGCUAGCUUUUGAGUUGCCUUCAGCGAGGAGGGAAUACAAAGGUCCCAUGAGAGAUGAGUUCUUUACUAAAACAGGAACUACAUCUGCCCCACCAUUGAUACACAAAGCCAGCAACAAUGAAACACAAUACUCCUUUGCUGCCCUUGAAUUGCAAGAACUUAGAACAUUCACAAUAAUAGGUAAAGCUCCAGCAUAAAGAACAGCCAUUGCUCCGUCUAAUCUUUCAGAAAGAGUUGACAAAACUGCCAAAGAAUCUGUAAUGAGAUCUUCCCUUUUGAAAGAUUUCAACAGAUUAACCACCAAAAGGACUAAUCCAGCGGCAAUUACUCUCCAGUGGUUUUCGGGGCGCCUUAAGAGGCCAAAAAUGGUGACCAAGGCAUUCUUUUUUCCCCCGUCAGUUCCAUUUCUUAGCAGCUCCAAAAGUGAUGGAAUGAUCUCCGGAUUUUCUCCAAUCAUUUUGCGGUACUCUUCUACAGAUGUCAGGUAGAAUAAUGUACCAGCAGCGUGCUGUCGUGCUUCCAUCUUUAGUCCUCCCUUCAAAACAUCAAGUAUCGCGAACAAACCUCCAUUUCCAACAAUUAUGCUUUUGCUGUUAGAGUUUUUCGAGAGGUUCAGUAGAGUAGCCAUUGCAUUCUCUUGACAAGAGGAAUCCCUUGAAGUAACAAGAUUCAGGAGAGGUGAGAUUGCACCAGCUUCCACCAAACAAGACCUGUUAAAAAUGCUUGUUUUGGUGAGCAAAUGAAUUUCGAAAACAGCAUUAUUUUGCUGUUCCAUUGUUCCAGCAACUAGUCUGCCAACUAGAAAACUUGCAAGCAACUUCAUAGCCUGCUCAUUAGCCACACUACCUGUAGCAACAGAUUUUACAGUAUCGCGAUUUCGCCUGCCAGUUUCCACAAACGGAAUGCCAUUCACAUAGCAAUACUGUUUGAUCAAGAACUUCAAAGCCAAAUUAGGAACCAAAUCAAUGCUUGUUAACCUCUCACCAGUCUUUGGACAAGUGGAGUUUCCAGAUCUGAACCAUUUGAGGAUCGAAGACCGAUCAUAUGUGUGACCUGAGGCUAUUGUCACAGGAUCACUCAUGAUUUCCAGCGUAAUUGGACACCUAAAAUCAUCAAGAUUCAAGAACCUGAUGACUUGAUCUGCAUUACUGCUGCCUCCAUUGAUUUGCGUACUUGCUACAUUAUCCAGUACUUCAAACAGAGUUCCCCUGCAGUAAAUCAUGAACCCCAUUAAGCUACUGAGAAGCCCCAUAUCUGUAUUUCCCUCUGAGAAAAUCUCAUUAUCCAAGAACUUAACUUCUUUAUUGCACGCGCUCCAACAUUUAAUCCCUAAAUAAUCAAGAACCCUUUUCAAAUCACUUGAUUCUGGAAUAAUUCCAUCUUCAAGUUGAUCCAAAAUCUUCAAAACAUUCAUUUGCACUCUCCUAUCAUCCAUUUCUACUUCAAACUUCAAUUUAACAGCUUGAUUUCUCACAAACUCCACCACUUCUUUAACUUCCACAGAAACAUCCAUUUCCUCCAAAGGCAGAACAUCAAGUGCCACAGCAACAGCUCUUGCCAGCAUCUGAAUCUGGCAAGAGACAUCCUCGGACUUGGCUAACAUCCAUAUCCUGGCAUCUUCUCUGCUACAAUCUUCCAACAAGAACUGAUACUUCUGGAAGAUAAAAUGGAUCUCUGAUAAGCUACUCAAAAUGCUGGAAUUUGCAAAUCUUGAAACCCCAUUUGGAAUUUCUUUGACAACGACGAGAAUAUCCUCAAUCAAACGUAUCGAGUUUCGACAAUUCUUAUUAUUAGUAAAGAAUGUUCUCGACUUGUAUUCACAUAUUUUUUGGCCUAGUUGGAUCAGAGAUGUAACAAGGCUAGAAAAACAUAUUGUUUCACUAGGACGUAUAGCCGGAAAAUUCAAAAUCCGACGAAUGAAUUCGUUAGAUUUGUCGUUGAUCAUUGAAGUAAAACAAACAAAAAGAAAAAAGAAAUAUCAAAUCUAAGGAACUAUACAAGAUAAGUAUAUAUGAACAAAAAGGAAAAGAAAGUGUGUAUAUGGACUUAUGUGGGAACUUUUUUAGUAGGUUUUGUGUAUGAGAUUGUUAAAGUAGUUGCUCUCUCUCUCUAUAUAUAUAAGUUGGUUAGUUGAAAAAAUAAAUAAAUAUAUAUAUGAAAGGACACGUGUUAGAAGAUCAAGGGUGAUUAGUGAUCGAACGGUCAAGAUUUUGACAAUUUUUUAGUUGACUAGGAUAUUUUGUAAAGGAUGGUCCGUUGAGACUUUCUUUAAAUUAUUGAAGCAUGUGUAGUAUGGGAAGAAGGGUACGUGAAAGUACGUAGCCGACACUUAAUAAUUAACGUACUAGUGACAUUAUUGGCACAUUGAAAUGGAAAAAAAGGAAGAUAUUAUAUUCUCCGUCGCACACCUUAAUAAAUAAUAAAUAAUACUUAAUAGGGAUGAAUUUAUUAUAGCACUAUUUGAAUAUAUAGAGUAAUAAAUUUAUUGUUUGAGUAACGAAUAAUAAUUUAAUAACAAGAUAAAAUGGACACAAAAUGGUAAAUUAUCUAUUAUUUUUACCUAAUAAAUAUUGUUGAAUAUCUAUUUUAAUAUAUUAGAUAAGCAAAGAUGGACGGAGGGAGGAAGUAUUGACAUGCAAAUUAAUGCUUGAUUUUAUGUUCGAAGUUAAUUAGUCUUGAAAAGGAAGAAAGGGGGGAAAUGACUUGACGAGAGAUAUUUAUUUGGUGUAUCUAUGAAGGUUCAUUAUUGUCCAAUUAAUAUAUUGUGAUUCAAUGUUAUAAAUGAUAAUAAUGGUCCAAAUUUGCCCUUAUAUUUUGCGGAAAGGUCUAAUUUUGCAUUAUGUUAGAAUUUUGGUUCUCAAUGUUAUAAUUUUGAGAAUUUACUUUUAGUCAAUAACAAUAUAUAUUAUAUACUGUGACAUUAUUGGCAUUUCGAAAGGAAAAAGAAAAACAAGACAUUAUUGACAUGCAAAUUAAUGUGUAGUUAAGCAAUUUUUGCUUUAGUUAAUGUCUGAAGUUAAUUAGCCUUGAAAAGUAAGAAAUUAAGAAGGAAAAUGACUUAACGAGAGAGAAUUAUUUGGUAUAGAGCAAAUAUUUCAAGGAGGUUGAUUAUGUUGACAAUAAUGGUGAUACUGUUACUUCAAAUAUUGAGGAUGAAGAGAGAAUUUUGUAACAUUCUUGUAUAUAGUUUUGGGAUAGAAUAUAAGUUAAUUGUUAGUUGUUAGUUUGUUACAAGAAUAGACAGUUGUACAUAGACGUUAGGAAACUACACAUAGACCGUAGGAAGUUUUUAUUUCUUCUCAUGUAAGCCAAUAGUUUCUAUUUUUUCUCAUGUAAGCCAGUAGUUUGUAUUUCUUCUCAUGUAAUCCAAUUCUAUCUUGCAUAAAUCAUGACAUGAAGAAUAAACAAAUCACUCAGGAAAUUCCUCAAUACUUCUCUUCACUUUUCUACAUGGCAUUAGAGACAGGUUAAUCUUUUGAGUCCAAUUUUUUCUCUCUCUCUCUUCUCAAUCACGGAAGAUCCUAGUGAUAACUACUCAAGCUCCACCUCCUGCUCCAGUUUCCUCUGCUCUGGAUCAGAGCAACUCCUUCUUUUUGCACCCUUCUGAUUCUCUAGGGUUGCUACUCACUCAAACUCUUUUUGAUGAGACUGGUUAUAGAGCUUGGAGAAGAUCCAUGCUCAUUGCUCUUUCUGCUAAGAAUAAACUAUGCUAUAUUGAUGGAUCUUCUCAGGUUCCUUCAUCUCUUUCUCCUGAUUUCAAUCUUUGGAAUAGCUGUAAUGAUAUGGUAACCUCUUGGCUACUGAACGCUUUGUCCAAAAAUAUUAUUGGAAGUGUAUUAUAUUCCAGUUUAGAUCGAGCCUUAUGGAAGGAUCUUGAGGAUAGAUUUAGAUAAACUAAUGGAGCUCAACUCUAUCACCUGCAAAAAUAAAUCAACAAUUUAACUCAAGGGACCUCAGAUAUUGCAGGUUAUUUCACUAGGUUCAAAAUGCUUUGGGAUGAGAUUGACACCUCGUAUAACAAGGUUACCUUCUCCUGCACGUGUACCUGUGAAGGAAAGGAGAAGAUGUUGAAAUCUCAACAAGAUGAGAGGUUGAUUCAUUUCCUUAUCGCGUUGAAUGAUGCUUAUUCACCCAUAAGAUGUAACAUUCUUAUCAUGAACCCUCUUUCUAGUUUUAAUCUUGCUUAUUCUUUAAUUCUUCAAGAUGAAAAAUAGAGGGAAGCUUACAAGAAUCCAUCUUUUCCAGGAGAACCCUCUUCUUACUUGGUUACUCAAUAAGCCAGUCUUCAUCCUAGCACAAGGUUCUCUUAUCCUAAAUCCACCCAAUCUAUUGACUCAAAGAAAAGAAAGAAUUUGGUGUGUUCCUAUUGCAAUAAGACACGACAUACCAUAGAAAAAUGCUACAGAAUCAUAGGAUUCCCAGCAAAUUUUAGGUUCACAAAAGAUUCAAGGACACAUGGGACAUUAAAAGGGAAUGUUGUGAUGAUCCCUGAAUUUGUCCCCAUUUCAGAUAACCCUUCUCAGGUUUCUUCUAUAUCUCAAGAUCAAUUCAUCCAACUUGUCAAGCUUCUUCAAAAUGUACAGGUCAGUGACACAAGGAUCUUAGAUUCAACUAUCCAUACUAAUGUCCUCCAGUGUGAUUGUAAUAUCUUUCAUAACCCUAUAGCUUAUUCAACCUAUGAUAAUUCUUCACAUUGGAUCAUUGAUUCUGGGGCUUCGGAACAUAUGUCCUUUGAUCCUACAUUUUUCACCUUUCUCACUCUUUUAUCUUUACUAAUUUUUGUCAAUUUUCCUAACUCUUUCAGGGUACAAGCCACAUAUAUUGGAUCUGUUAGUCUAUUUCCUGACCUUGUUCUACAUAAUAUACUUCUUAUUCCUUCAUUCAAAAUUAAUCUUAUCUCUGUACAAAAAAUUUUGCAGACAGUUGCUUUGUCAUGUUACAUUUACCCCCACAUAUUGUGUUAUGCAAGGUCUUUCAAUAAAGAUCCCUCUAGUACUUGGUGAAGCAAGAACAGGAGUCUACAUGCUUUAUACAACUAGUUCUCAAUCACGUUUUUUCUUCAAGUCUCAAUUAGAUCCUAAUUCUAGUAUUUCCAACUCUGUUUCUAGAAGUACUUUUGGACCUGUAAAGUCCCAUUCUCUGGUGGCAUUAUGGCAUAAUAGAUUGGGACAUCUACCUUUCUAUGUAAUGAAUAAAUUAAUUUUUAUUUCUUCUUUAAUCAAUGAAAAUUGCUCUUGUGAUGUGUGUCCUUCGGCUAGAAAAUCUAAGCUACCUCUUCCCUAUAAUUCUAUUAAAAGUUUAGCUUUGUUCGAUUUGCUACACUUGGACACUUGGGGACCUUACAAAUCACUCACUCAUGAUGGCUAUAAAUACUUCCUCACCAUAUGGAUGAUUUUAGUAGAAUGACUUGGACAUAUCUUUUAACUACUAAAAGUAAUGCUUUCUCUGUUUUCAAACCUUUCAUAGCUCUGAUUGAAAGACAAUACAAUGCUAAGGUCAAAAUUGUAAGGUCUGACAAUACUUUAGAGCUUGGAGGUAGUUCUCUUCUGGUUGAAUUUUUUACCACUGCUGGUAUAAUACAUCAGACUUCUCACACUGCUUUCUCUAAAAAAAAUAGAGUUAUUAAGAGGAAGCAUAGACACCUCAUAGAGACUUAUAGAGCUCUACUACAUCAGUCAAAUCUUUCCAUAUAUUAUUGGGGGGAAUGUCUUCUUACUGCUACCUAUCUAAUUAAUGGAUUUUCCUCAUUUGUUCAUCGUAAAAAAACACCUUUUAAGCUAUUUUUUAGAAAAACACCUAAAUAUGAUCACCUUAAGAGAUUUGGUUGCCUAUGUUUUGCUUCUACCCUUGCACAUAAUAGAGCUAAAUUUGUCCCUAUAGUUAUCCUUUGUGCUUUUAUAGGCUAUCUAUCAUAUAAGAAAGGGUACAAAUUAUUAGAUUUGAAAAAAUCAGGGCUGUGUUUGUUUCCAGGAAUAUGAGAUUCCAAUAAAACGUGUUUCCAUUCCUCUCACAUUCCACACCAUCUAUUUUCCCAACCACUCGUUCAUCUGCAACUGAUGACUUGCCAUCUACUACUUUUUCACCACACUCCACACAACCUGAGAUAGCUUCACCUACUCUUGAUUAACAACCUCCUGAUCCUAGUCCACCCACUUCUUCUUAAAAUGAUGUACCUUCUAGUUCCGAAUCUUUUACUCUUGUUCCUGCUAAGCCAACCAGAAGAUCAGAAAGGCAACACAAGGUACCAAGCUAUCUUAAUGACUAUAUUUGCAAUUCUGUUUAAUUGACUGAUGUUACCUCAACCUGUUAUACCACUUCUUCUAAUCCUACUUUUUCUUUCUUUUACUACUUUAUCUACCCCUAAUCAGUAUCUCUUAAACUCUCUCUCUUUUGCAUUUUAGAACCCCAAAACUUUACCAAGCCAUCAUGUAUCCUGGAUAGCAGAAAGCUAUGAAAGCUGAGUUUGAGGCCCUUGAGUCCAACCAAACUGGGGAUGUCAUUGAAUUACUGAUUGAUAAGAAUGCCUUGCCAUGUAAAUGAGUCUAUAAAUUCAAGCAUAGGUCAGAUGGUUCCAUUGAGAGAUUGAAAGGUAGACUAGUGGUUCGCGGUAAUAUUUAAAGAGAAGGGAUUGAUUUUAAUGAAACAUACUCACCAAUGGUUAAGAUGACCACCAUUAGAUGCUUCUUGGUAGUAGCAUUUAAGAAGAACUAGGAUUCAAAUCAGCUUGAUAUUAAUAAUUCUUUCUUGCAUGGGGAUUUGCAAGAAGAAGUUUAUAUGCAAUUUCCCCAGGCAUGUCCCCUCUCAGUCUUAAUCAUGUUUGCAAACUACGGAAGUCACUAUAUGGCCUGAGGCAAGCCUCAAGGUAGUGGUAUGCUAGAUUGGCUGCAGCACUACAAUUUAAAGGCUACACUUUUUCUUUAAAUGAUUACUCAUUGUUUUUUAAAAAUAAUGGUAAUCUAAUCUCUAUCCUCACUAUGUAUGUAGAUGACAUAUUGGUCACAGGGAACGAUGUUGCAGAGUUACACAGUCUCAAGCUAUUCCUUAACACAAAAUUCAAAAUUAAAAAUUUGGGUAACUUGUAUUACUUCUUGGGUAUGGAAAUCCUUCAUGAAUUUUAAGGUUUGAUCAUUUUCCAACGCAGGUUCACCCUUGACCUUCUCUCCGAAUUCAAAUGUGACCAUUUGUCUCCGAUUUCAUCUUAUUUGGACCCUUCUUUCAAAUUAAGUGUUGAUUCAAGGAAUCUCUUACUCAACCCCACCAUCCAUCGGAGGAUAAUUGGUCAUCUUAACUAUCUCACCCACACACGGCUAGAUAUUUUCUUUGUCGUUCAACAUCUUUCUCAAUUUAUGCACUCUCCUUGCACACCUCACUACAAUGCUGCUCUACGGGUUUUUCGUUAUUUACUCCUUGACCUUGGUCAAGGUUUGAUCAAGUCGUCCUCUCCCUCUUUUUCUCUACUUGCUUUUUGUGAUGCCGAUUGGGCAUCGUGUGUUGACUUCCGACGUUUAAUCAGCGGAUUCUUUAUCAGUUUAGGCGGAUCACCAAUUUCUUGGAAAUCUAAAAAGCAAGUCUCUAUUUCCCUUUCCUCUGCUAAAGCAGAAUACCGUUUCAUGCGUAGAUUGGUCUCCGAGCUCACUUGGCUUCAUCGUCUCCUUCAAGAUCUUUCUCUCAUACCUGAGCUGCCUAUACCAGUUCACUCGGACAGUAAAGCCACCCUCCAUAUCGCUAAAAUUCGGUCUUUCACAAGCGCACAAAACAUGUUGAAAUUGAUGGCCACUUUGUCAGGCAACAAUUUCUCUUUGGUCUCAUUUCCCUAAAUUUUGUGCCGCUUUCUUUUCAACUAGCAGAUAGUUUUACUAAACCAUUAUCGGGACCUUCUCAUUUCUCUGUACUUCCUAAGUUGGGGCUGUCUUCUACACCCUCCAACUUGACGGGGGGUGUUGACAAUAAUGGUGAUACUGCUGCUACAAAUAUCGAGGAUGGAGAGAGAAUUUUGUAACUGUCUUGUAUAUGUUUCUGGGAUAGAAUAUAAGUUAAUUGUUAGUUGUUAGUUUCUUACAAGAAUAGACAGUUGUACAUAGAUUAUAGGAAGCUACACAUAGACCGUAGGAAGUUUCUAUUUCUUUUCAUGUAAGUCAAUAGUUUCUAUUCCUUCUCAUGUAAACCAAUUCUAUCUUGUAUAAAUCAUGACAUAAAGAAUAAACAAAUCACUCAGAAAAUUCCCCAAUACUUGCUCUCACUUUUCUAUAGAUUAUUAACUGUCCAAUUAUUAUAUAUUGACUAAAGGCAUUUCGAGUUAGAAUUAUAAUAGAAUAACAAUUGAAGGCAAUUUCGAGUUAAAUAAUAGAGUAUAACAAGAAAAUGGAAUAAUCCAAACUUUUAAUAGAGACAAAGUUAAACCUUUUCACAAAGUGCAAAAGCUAAUUCGGACCGGACCGUCUUCAAUUGAUGUAUAAUAAUAUUGAUAUUCAAAUAUUUGCUUAUUUCAUUUUUGUUGUUAAAUAUUACUAGCACAAACAACAGAUUAAUUAUGCUCAUCAAAAUAUAUGUGAAUUUGGGGAAAUUACGCAAUUAAGAUUUAAAUCUUCUUAUUCUUUUACUUUUUUUUUUAAAGAUUUUCAUUCAAGUUCUUUGAUGAUUAGAUAACACUUUUAAGUACUUGAAGGGUCAAUAACAAAUUAAAUUUUGCCUUGGAACUUUUUUCGGUCCUUCAGAUUUAGGAGUAAUAUUAUAUGAGUUGGCAUGAUGCAUGUUACGAAAUUUAACACAAGUAUGGGAAUAUAAACAAGUCAGCAAUUACUAGGACAGAUAAGAGGCACCGGCAAAAUUUUAGCAUUGAAUCACUCUAUGAAAAAUGUAUUUUUAAAUUAUAGGUGUACUAUAUUCUAUAUGAAAAAUGUAUUUUUAAAUUAUAGGUGUACUGUAUUCUAUAUGAAAAAAUGCAGUAUGCAUCGAAGUUGGGAGGCUUCGUUUAAUGUUAUAUCAUGUAAUAAUGUGUUGGAACGUACAUUCCGCCCUCGAGGCGUCUCCAUUUUCGUUUUAGAGGAAGUAGAGCCGUCAAUAUAGCCAGGCCCGUUGAGUCGGUUCAAUUCAACCUGUAAUUUGAUGGAGUUGGGCUUCAAUAUUUGCAGUCCAUUUAAGAAUAAAGCUUUUUAGCACAGCCCGUAUAAGCCCGUGGCUCGUGGGGCUGAAGCAAUGUGGGUUGGGCGAGCCUGUGGGCCUGCCCGUAAGUCAAAUACCUACAACUAUUUAAAUUGUUUAUUAGUAUUUUUAUUUGGUUCAAAGAAUAUCAUGUCAAACGUUAUUUAAUUUCGCUAUUAGGAGUAUUUUUUGGGAUGUUGGAGACGUGAUUAACAAGUAUUAAUACUAUGAAAUAUUGUCUGGUAAUAUUUAUGUUUAUUAAUACUCUAAAAUUAAAUUAUAAAACAUUAUUUUUUAAAAAGUGGGUUGGCCCGUGAGGCCCGCAGCCCAUAGAGUAAUGGUGUAGGCUUGGUAUUUUUUGACCCAUCAUUUUGAUGAGUCAGCCUGACCUAAUCUGUCAAACUCAAAGCCCGUGUGGACUAGCUCGGAAGGGCUGGGCCGACCCACAUUGACAGCUCUAGGAGAAAGUUAUGGAUAUAUACGAUCAACAAGUUUAUUAAUAUGAUCGAAAUAUACAUAAUUAAUGUGUAUAUAUUUCGUAUAUAUAUGUAGAAUAUAUUUACGAUAUAUAUGUAUUUAGUAAAAAGCCAACAUAUAUAAUCUAUACACUACAUAUUUUAUAAACUUAUUGACUCAAGUGUUUAGAGCAAUAACAUCCUUUCGUUUUCAUUCAUUUAAUUUGAACUUUAUUUAAAAAUUAAUUUUUCUUUUUUUAUUUGUCUAUCUUAGUAAAUUAAGAAAAAAUUAUUACUUAUUCUAGUAUUAUUUUUAUUAUUAAAUAGCUACAUAAAUUAGUACUUAAUAGUCAUAUUUAAACACGAAAAGUAUAAUCAGUAAAAUUAAUUUAAUAAAAUAAAUUCAUGAUAAAUAUUUUUUUUAGUAAUUUCAAGUCAAUAAAAAUCCAAAUAAAAAUAAUGCAUGGAGUAUUUUUUUCCUUUUAUAACAUUAUGAUCCGAUCCGAAUCACCUCUAUCGAUGGCAGUGGAAUCUUUAAUUAAAUAGUACUCGUUUCUCUGUUCACUUUUUUAUGUCAGUUUUUAACUUGAUACAAUUUUUAAAAAAUUAUUAUUGAAAUAAUUAUUUUAUUAUAUUAUUUUUAUUAAUUAUUCUUUAUACCAAAUCAGUUUUAAAUCCAUUUUAGUAUAAUUUUUUUGUUUUCGUUUUAUGUAGGGGUUCUUUGAUUUUGACAAAAAUUGUACUGUUCUUUAUUGAAUUAAUCAAAAUCUGAGUGUUUUUAGUUAAUAUUAUCUAUUCCGCAUGUUUAAUCGUGUUUUACUUUGGAUAAUGACUAGAAAACUUUUAAAUUUUUGUAUUUAUAUUGUAUAUUGAUUUUGAUUUUUUUUUAUACUGAAUUGGACCCAUUUUAAUGGUGAUCUUAUUGUUGUGAAUUACAAUGUCAAUAUCUGGACAAAUUGGAACUUGAUUUGCAUGUUUGAUAUGAGAUAUUUUUUCGUCUUUCUUGAUAAACCACUAUAGAGUUGUUUUUGCUGCAUUUUUUCAUUUAUUUUAAAUAGAUCAGUGGUUGAUAAAGAUUUGUUUUUGGUUAAUGACUAAAUAAAAUAUGUAAACUUAAAUUUAUAUGUUCAAAACAUAAUUAAUAAGAUUAAUUUGAUAAAAUAAAUUUAUAAUAAAUUUUUUCUUAAUGGGUGUGCCAAGUCCAUAGGCUCAACUAAUAUGAAAUAGAGGGAGUAAUUGCUAGCAAAUCAUGAAACGACAUGAUCAGAGAAUUUAAAAUUUAAUACUACAAUUAACUUAGUAAAUCAAUAGGCAACUACGAUGUAAGUAAAUGAUACAAUUGUAUACAUUCACUGCACCCUUUCAAUUCCUUACCCUUUCAAUAUAUAUAUAUUUAGGAUUAGUAUAUUAACAUGAUAUGAUUACUAUUUAAUUAUUUAAUUAAUUAAAUAUUUUAUAAUAUGAUUUUAAUGUAGUAUGGGGAUAAAAUGAUAAUCUAACUUUACCUCUAAAUUCUUCCCACUUUUAGUAUAAUAUUACAAAUAAAUAGCAAAUAAAAUUGGAGUACCAAUACAUAUAUAUAUAGUUUUCAAAUAAAUAUAUUGUAACAAAUUAUUUAAAUAAAUAGAUUAAAUAUUAAAUGAAAUGAUCCAAGUCUUCAAUGAUUAUCCAUUUCCAUUGAGAAGUAAUGGCCAUCCUUUCCCUAUUUGCGGGGUAGUGGUUUGUUUGUUACUAUUGCUUGGGAGUUAAAUAAGUUGUUUCUUAGCAUUUAGGUAAUAGAAUUAGUGGAAUCAGUUUAGAUCAGAAUAAUUAGGAGUAACAAACGUGUUCUGUUAUUAGUAGCUUUUAUCUAUUUAAGGACUCUUAUAAUUGAGAAAUGAAAAACAGUUUCACUUGACGUCCCUUUAUUGUUAUUUACAAUUUCUAUCAAUGUCACCACAAGGGAGAUGAAAUCCUCUCUAAUAGAUAAGUUAUUUUUCUACAAACGAUUUCAAGAAGAAUAUUUCCCCCAACCAUCAGCUGUUCAUUCUUUAAUUCCACUGUAUGAUUUCUUCGCAAGGUUGAAUGGCUUGAUCCAAAAUCUGCAAUCAUUAUAAUAAUAGAAUGACAAAAUCAUAUUGUCUCUUAUUACCGCGGAAAUCAUUUCAAUACGUUUAAUCACUUUUAGGACAAUGUAAAUCAUUCCAAUGUACUGAAUCCAAAUUAGUUCCCUAUGAACUUCAACGAACCACUUCAAGAAGCAUACUUAUCUCAACCACCUGCAUAUAUUCUUUAGUUGUUUGUUUCUAUUUAUUGAGUGGACUAUUGCUUAGAUACUAUUACCUCUGUGGCUGGAUUGCCAAUCUCCUCAAAUCUAACACCUUCAGAUCCAGUUCAAUGGGAAACAAAUUGCAUUAUAAAGAAAAUCCUAUUAUCCCUGAACUAAUUAAAAUCAUAUUUAUGACAACCUUAAGUGUAUAUGUGGCACAUUGUUUGAAUCAACACACGGAAGGGGCAUGAAUUGUAUUUUUAUCUCCUUAACCAAUAAAAAUGUGCCACGUGUCUAAAAUGAAAUUAAAUAAUAAAUCAACGACGUAUGCAUUUGGAUUUAUUUGAUGAAUUUAUUAUUUGAUGAAUUUAUUAAUUAUGAUUUAUUUGAUAAAACUAGAUUUAG